This 464-nucleotide ribosomal RNA is filed under the name uncultured bacterium. Its description in RNAcentral is "partial 16S ribosomal RNA". It matches the Rfam family "Bacterial small subunit ribosomal RNA", at positions 28 to 507 of the family's 1533-position model. The record is from RNAcentral.
GACGAACGCUGGCGGCGUGCUUAACACAUGCAAGUCGAACGGAAAGGCCCCUUUGGGGGUACUCGAGUGGCGAACGGGUGAGUAACACGUGAGUGACCUGCCCUUGACUUCGGGAUAACUUCAGGAAACUGGGGCUAAUACCGGAUAGGAAUCCUUGCUGCAUGGUGGGGUUGGAAAGCUUCGGCGGUUUUGGAUGGACUCGCGGCUUAUCAGCUUGUUGGUGGGGUAGUGGCUUACCAAGGCUUUGACGGGUAGCCGGCCUGAGAGGGCGACCGGCCACAUUGGGACUGAGAUACGGCCCAGACUCCUACGGGAGGCAGCAGUGGGGAAUAUUGCACAAUGGGCGGAAGCCUGAUGCAGCAACGCCGCGUGCGGGAUGACGGCCUUCGGGUUGUAAACCGCUUUCAGCAGGGGCGAAGCUUGUGGUGACGGUACCUGCAGAAGAAGCACCGGCUAACUACGUG